Long non-coding RNA from Rosa chinensis, 712 nucleotides. RefSeq lists it as uncharacterized. The record is from RefSeq and is a predicted model, not a curated record. Lineage: Eukaryota; Viridiplantae; Streptophyta; Magnoliopsida; Rosales; Rosaceae. The transcript is spliced from 4 exons.
GGAAGCUCACCUCGGUAACGCCGGAGCUCAACUCGACUUUCCGCCGUCCUUCGCUCCAAAAUCUUCGAUAUCCGCUUUGCAGAUCCCCAAAACCCAAGUAAAUAUCACGUCAUAGACAAACCGAGCUCAGCUGGACGACGCCGGAGCUCAGCCCGGUCACAUUCAAUUUCAAUUUCACCAUGGAGAUAUCUUGAACAAACAACUGAUUUUUUUGGUUCCUGACAAGAACAGAGUUUCGUUCUCUACGGUAGGUCAAUCUUCGAACAAGGUACUAAAGCAUGAAGGCUUUGCAAUACUGCUGCCUAUUGCUGUAAUUCAGCUCUGCAAAUCUUUGUGGUUUUGAGCUAAAAAUGGAGAGGGAUUUCUUGGGUUUGAGUUCAAAUAAGAGCUGUGUGAAUGUGAAAGAUGAAGCCAAUGAUGAACUCAAGAAUUCAGUGGGCGGUAAAGGAUCCGAAAGAGUAUACCCAACAACAACUUGACGAGGUGUGCAUUGAAGUAGCCGACUACUUACAGACUCUGCUGUAGAUUCUGACCAGUUUCUUGCUUUUGAGUUAGGGUAUCUUUUGAUUAACAUUUUUGUAGCAAUUAUGAACAAAAAUGAAUACUAAUUGCUAGGCUAGCCUUGUAGUAGGUGAAUUGGUGUUUUAUUCCGCCCAUUUUGUAAACUAUUAAGGAUGAUGAUUUUAGAUGAAAUACCCCAAUAUUCAAAUCA